Long non-coding RNA from Alligator sinensis (Chinese alligator), 615 nucleotides. RefSeq lists it as uncharacterized. NCBI's taxonomy places the organism in Eukaryota, Metazoa, Chordata, Crocodylia, Alligatoridae. The record is from RefSeq and is a predicted model, not a curated record. The transcript has 3 exons.
AGAGGCUAUGGAGAGGUAACAGAAAGCAGCAUUUGGCCUGCAGAACCUUUAUUACUUGAUGCUGUGCGAGAGGGAAAGAAUCCAGCUUGACUCUACAGGUCCAUUUAAAAAAUGUGGGUUGAACUAAUUUUCAUAUGAAAAACCAGUCAUGAACAAAGAGCCCCACAACGUGAUGACUGAUGUGACCCAGGUCCCAGGAGGUACCUGCCUCCAUAUCAAGGCUGACCUUCAAUAAUUGUUUCAUUACUGUCAAGUUCUCCUUGAAAGCCUGUGAUAUUCUGCAGCUAACAGUGAACAAGAACAAAUUGAACUGCAGAAAGUGGAGGUAGGCUUGUACCAGCUAGUCAGGAGCAGCCACUUAAUCUACCUUGACUAUAAGCCAACUAAUUCAUUUGACAGAAGAAGAUAAAAAGGACCUCACACACAGAGAACAAAGGCAGAGAGAGCCUAUCAACUACAAGGUGACACAGAACCUCUCAGAAAACCCACAAGGAAUGUGUACUUGACUCACAGGGUCAUCUAAGUGAUGCUGAGCCUCAUUCUCCCUUCACUUCUGCUGAUGUAAAGCCAGUAGUAACUCCAUUUCAGUCAAUUGUGGUAUAGAUUAGAUCAGAA